UGGUAAUUAGUUUAAUUAGAACAAUUGAUUUCGACUCACUAAGUUAUGAAUUACCUCAUAAUUACCAU
Molecule: transfer RNA, 68 nt
Filed under: Sicista concolor (Chinese birch mouse)
Lineage: Eukaryota; Metazoa; Chordata; Mammalia; Rodentia; Dipodidae
Description: tRNA-Arg
Source: RNAcentral